Molecule: ribosomal RNA, 425 nt
Filed under: uncultured bacterium
Lineage: Bacteria
Description: partial 16S ribosomal RNA
Rfam family: Bacterial small subunit ribosomal RNA
Source: RNAcentral
GUUAGGAAUAUUGGACAAUGGGCGAAAGCCUGAUCCAGCCAUGCCGCGUGAACGAUGAAGGCCUUCGGGUUGUAAAGUUCUUUAGCCGAUGAUUAUAAUGACUGUAGUCGGAAAAUAAGCCCCGGCUAACUUCGUGCCAGCAGCCACGGUAAUACGAAGGGGGCGAGCGUUAUUCGGAAUCACUGGGCGUAAAGCGUGCGUAGGCGGUUUUGUAAGUUAGGAGUGAAAGCCCAGGGCUCAACCUUGGAAUUGCUCUUAAAACUGCAAGGCUCGAAUCUCGGAGAGGAUAGCGGAAUUUCCAGUGUAGCAGUGAAAUGCGUAGAUAUUGGAAGGAACACCAGUGGCGUAAGCGGCUAUCUGGACGAGUAUUGACGCUGAGGCACGAAAGCGUGGGGAUCAAACAGGAUUAGAUACCCUUGUAGUCC